RNAcentral lists this ribosomal RNA (253 nucleotides) under uncultured bacterium. RNAcentral describes it as "partial 16S ribosomal RNA". It matches the Rfam family "Bacterial small subunit ribosomal RNA", at positions 524 to 776 of the family's 1533-position model. The record is from RNAcentral.
GACAGAGGAGGCAAGCGUUGUCCGGACUGACUGGGCGUAAAGCGCGCGCAGGCGGAUCUGGGCGUCGGUGCUCAAAGGCCCCCGCUUAACGGGGGACGGCGUGCCGAUACGCCAGGUCUGGAGGGCGGGCGAGGGUGGUGGAAUUGCCGGUGUAGUGGUGAAAUGCGUAGAGAUCGGCAGGAACACCCGUGGCGGAGGCGGCCACCUAGCCCGCUCCUGACGCUGAGGCGCGACAGCGUGGGCAGCGAACGGG